CGUGGUUGCCACAGCAACAACAAUCUCAUAGUUCCUUCAGGCCCUCAGUGCAGUGAGCAUCUGUAGAGAGUCCUCUGAAGAACUACAGGAAAACCUAUAGUCUGAUGAGGCAAAAUCAUGAAAUGUAAUAAGGUGGACUCCUGUCCCCACUCCAGAAAGCUUCUGCCAGAAAAAUGCACUAAUGACUGUGUCUCUAUCCGAAGCUGUAGAGGUCUCCUUUACAGCUCUCACUAUAGGCUGGUGGCAUCCUUCUCUCUUCUAACUCUUCCUCAGAUCCUGGGAUUAGAGACUGACCAUAUCAUCCACUUUUGGUACAUGGCUUUGACCUGCAAGAUCCUCUUUCUGUUCUAUAUCCUAGCCACAACAGACACUCAAUAAAACCAGCCUCUGCUCAUUAUUCUAAAUAUAUCUCA
This is a long non-coding RNA of Hyaena hyaena (striped hyena), 413 nucleotides long. RefSeq lists it as uncharacterized. The record is from RefSeq and is a predicted model, not a curated record. The transcript is spliced from 3 exons. NCBI's taxonomy places the organism in Eukaryota, Metazoa, Chordata, Mammalia, Carnivora, Hyaenidae.